CUCAAGUCUGUGUAGCUGCUGUAAACAUGGACAAAUAUCAAUAUGCAGGCUUUAGGUGGGUGAGCCAUUAGUACAUUUUUGCCCAUAAAGAACCUGCGUUACAUUA
Small nucleolar RNA from Gossypium arboreum, 106 nucleotides. The record is from Rfam. Lineage: Eukaryota; Viridiplantae; Streptophyta; Magnoliopsida; Malvales; Malvaceae.